This is a long non-coding RNA of Peromyscus leucopus (white-footed mouse), 966 nucleotides long. RefSeq lists it as uncharacterized. The transcript is spliced from 3 exons. The record is from RefSeq and is a predicted model, not a curated record. NCBI's taxonomy places the organism in Eukaryota, Metazoa, Chordata, Mammalia, Rodentia, Cricetidae.
UCUCAGGAGCCUCUGGUUCGGAAUUCUGUACUAUUGCCCUCCUUUUACACAAAUUUAUUCCCGCUCAGCACCACACGCCCAUUUGCCCUGCUGGAGGUACGCCACGGUCCUGGGCUUCACCUUCACCCAUCAGCCCUUGCAGUGGAAUGUUCUAGAACACCAGAUAUCCUUGGAUUCCUUCCCCCUUGUUUAUGCCUCCUCAUCACCUGGCUUUCCCACCACUUUGGCCUAAUCUCUUCUUUUCCCUCUAGGACCCACCUGGCCUCACGGGCUCACAUGUGCUAACAGCCCCAGGAAGCAUUUUAGGGGGAAGAAAGCAGGCGUUCUGUCUGAAAGAAUGUUUCCGAGGCACUCUCCUCUGCACCGUUUAACCAACAUUGGUGCUGUUCAGACUCGGAUACACCACUGAGCACCUGCUGUGACCGCUGCCACCUCUUCCCCCAUCCAACAAGACUGCAAGACCGUGAGCGCGUUCCUCGCCUCCACUAGACCCCUACACAGCUUCCACUACUGCUACCGCCAUGAUUCUUCACAGUGGAGGUUUAUAAUGAAGAGAUCGCCUCAAAAGAGACUUUGGACUUCGGAACUGUUGAAAAGACCUUGGGGACUUGGACUGAAUGCAUUUUGAAUUAUAAAAUACUGUGAGUUUAUGGAGGCCUGGAAGGUAGUGGUUUGAAUGAGAACAGCCCCCCCCCACCCCCCACCCCCGUCCCGUCAGCUCAGAUAUCUGAACACUUGAUCCCAGGUUGGUGGCGAUCUUUGAGGAGGUUUAGGAUGUGUGCCCUUGCUGAAGAACGUCGUCAGAUAUCAGCUUGCUCUCUCUGCUUGUGUUUGAAGAUGUGAGCUCUCAGCUCCUGCCACGUCUGCCUCUCGCUGCUAUACCUCUUCCCUGCCAUGAUGAACUGUUAUCACUCCGCAACUCUGCCAAAAUAAGCUUUGUUUUGUUUUGUUUUUAUGGUAACAGAA